RNAcentral lists this ribosomal RNA (500 nucleotides) under uncultured Glomeromycotina. Its description in RNAcentral is "SSU rRNA". It matches the Rfam family "Eukaryotic small subunit ribosomal RNA", at positions 591 to 1097 of the family's 1831-position model. The record is from RNAcentral. Lineage: Eukaryota; Fungi; Glomeromycota.
CCAAUAGCGUAUAUUAAAGUUGUUGCAGUUAAAAGCUCGUAGUUGAAUUUCGGGGUCAGCAGGUUGGUCGUGCCUAUGGUAUGAACUGGCUUCGCUGGUCUCUCCUUUCUGAAGAACUGUAAUGCCAUUAAUUUGGUGUUGCAGGGACACAGGACUGUUACUUUGAAAAAUUAGAGUGUUUAAAGCAGGCUAACGCUUGAAUACAUUAGCAUGGAAUAAUGAAAUAGGACGUUCGAACCUAUUUUGUUGGUUUCUAGGAUUGACGUAAUGAUUAAUAGGGAUAGUUGGGGGCAUUAGUAUUCAAUUGUCAGAGGUGAAAUUCUUGGAUUUAUUGAAGACUGACUACUGCGAAAGCAUUUGCCAAGGAUGUUUUCAUUAAUCAAGAACGAAAGUUAGGGGAUCGAAGACGAUCAGAUACCGUCGUAGUCUUAACCAUAACUAUGCCGACUAGGGAUCGGAUGAUGUAAUUUUUAAUGACUCAUUCGGCGCCUUACGGGAAA